AGCAGCCGCGGUAAUUCCAGCUCCAAUAGCGUAUAUUAAAGUUGUUGCAGUUAAAAAGCUCGUAGUUGAACUUCGGGGUUUACCCAUUGGUCAGGCUUAAUUGUCUGUACUGGUGAGAUAAAUCUCUACCUUCUGAGGAACUUUCAUGCCAUUUAUUUGGUGUGAUUGGAAAUCAGGACUAUUACUUUAGAAAAAGUUAGAGUGUUUAAAGCAGGCUAACGUCUGAAUAUAUUAGCAUGGAAUAAUGAAAUAGGACGGCUUGGUUCUAUUUCGUUGGUUUCUAGGAUCACCGUAAUGAUUAAUAGGGAUAGUUGGGGGCAUUAGUAUUCAAUUGUCAGAGGUGAAAUUCUUGGAUUUAUUGAAGACUAACUACUGCGAAAGCAUUUGCCAAGGAUGUUUUCAUUAAUCAAGAACGAAAGUUAGGGGAUCGAAGACGAUCA
Molecule: ribosomal RNA, 440 nt
Filed under: uncultured Diversispora
Lineage: Eukaryota; Fungi; Glomeromycota; Glomeromycetes; Diversisporales; Diversisporaceae
Description: SSU rRNA
Rfam family: Eukaryotic small subunit ribosomal RNA
Source: RNAcentral